ACUCAAAUGAAUUGACGGGGGCCCGCACAAGCGGUGGAGCAUGUUGUUUAAUACGUCACUAACCGUAGAACCUUACCAGGGCUUGACAUCCGUCGACCGCCUGUGAAAGCAGGUUUUCCUCGCAAGAGGACGGCGAGACAGGUGUUGCAUGGCUGUCGUCAGCUCGUGUCGUGAGAUGUUGGGUUAAGUCCCGCAACGAGCGCAACCCUCACCCCAUGUUGCCAGCGAGUCAUGUCGGGAACUCUUGGGGAACUGCCUGGGUAACCGGGAGGAAGGUGGGGAUGACGUCAAGUCAGCAUGGCCCUUACGCCCUGGGCUACAAACAUGCUACAAUGGACGGCAGACAAAGGGAUCCGAGACCGCGAGGUGGAGGCAAUCUCAAAAAUCCGUUCCCAGUUCAGAUCGCAGGCUGCAACUCGCCUGCGUGAAGUCGGAAUCGCUAGUAACCGCAGAUCAGCUAAGCUGCGGUGAAUACGUUCCCGGGCCUUGUACACACCGCCCGU
This 503-nucleotide ribosomal RNA is filed under the name uncultured bacterium. RNAcentral's name for it is "partial 16S ribosomal RNA". It matches the Rfam family "Bacterial small subunit ribosomal RNA", at positions 899 to 1397 of the family's 1533-position model. The record is from RNAcentral.